AGGAUAAUUAAAGAACUCAAGAAUAAGUUAACUAUGACCAUUUGAGAGAAAGAGAACCCUUUACCAAGUGGGACCCAUUACUCCAUAUGAUAAUUAAGCCAAUACUAAACAUUUCCCUCAUUUGUGAAGAAUCAGAACAACAUCUUGUUUCAUUUCUUUCUCUCCCUCGUUCUUCAACCUCACGCCCCUCCUCCAUAACCCAUGUUUCAUUCUUCUACCCAAAAGGUUGCAUGUACUCUUUUCUAGUUAACUCUUAGUCAUUGAGCUAUAACAAAGGAUUUGAGACUCCAAAUCAUUCAUUCUUUCUCUAGUACGGGAAAUUAAUCCCAAAUCCAUCUCCACAAGAUCUUCAAAACCCUUUCCAUUAAAUUGAAGAAAAUCAGAGGUGUUUAUGGUGUUGAUUGCAUGUGCAAAUUCUGGAACAAAUUCUCAAUCAGCAGCAUGAUAAAGGAAGAGUAAGUAAUAGAGUUAAUUCUUCAAAUUCCUUAUUCUCACAAGUCCAUUCUAUGUGGUGUUAAAGAUGAUUUAUAGGAUUUAAUUAGUUCCAUUUUGGUACUUGCAUGUAAGAUUCCAAGGAGAGAAGAUCAUGGGUAUUUGAGUAGAAGUAGUUGAGAGAUCAAAGAUUAAGGAAGCUAAAAACUUGCAGAAGUUGGAAAGGACUUGGGAUUUAAGAAAUUAUUAUGGAAAAGUGAUUUAACAACCUUAAUGAACUAUUGUUGUUGCUGUACUGUGGUCUGAUGUUGUUGUUAAAACUGAUUGGUAUGAUUAGAAUGGUUAUGGCUUAAUUCUAUGGAAUUUUAGUGAAAAAUUCGUAUGACAGUACAGGUACUAAUCGAGUCAUAGCUGUUGCUGUGUAGCCCAGACUUGUGUAAUUGUUGGAUUUUCGGAUUCUACACUUAAUUCCCUUCAGUUUGGAUAUACGUUUGAUAUGUUUUGGAUUAGAAAUGGAUUCGGAAAACGCGUUUGAAGUUUGAAUAUUGAUGUUGGAAACUGCAUACGGGUUUUGGCAUGGAUUUUGCAGAAUAAGCUAAAAUGUGUGUUUAAGUUGGGUGAAUGAUUCCAGAACUGAAUAUGUAUGCUUAAUUGGCUGAGUAAGAGCUUGGUUUGAAGUUGAAAUGAAAAAAUUAGAGGUUGGAAGUCAGUAGCAGUUUUAUGCAGAAAAUCUGUCACGAGUUUGCAUAUGUGAGCAGCACCAUCGGAUGGUUCUAAGCGGGCGAGAUGGCUGGUUAUUGCUAGCAAUUUCAGAUAAACAGGUUGAUCGAGAUAUCAUGGUCUACAAGCAUGGAGUUCAGAUACUUGGAUUAUGCUAGUUGAGCUGACGUCAUGUUAUCUUAUAUUUUGUAUAAGAUUUAGUUUCUUUAUGUUUUCAGUUGUUAGCUCAAUUUAGUAUUAAUCUCUUGGAUUUUGUAAUCCUAUUUGUGUAUUCGGCCGAUAUGCAAUGAAAAUUUAAUGUUUCCCGAUUCAGUUAUGUACACUCUUGUCGAUAUUCUAGAUAAAAUGACAUGGGGUGUUAUAAUUGGUAUCAGAGCAGGUCGAUUCUUCAUCGGACCUUGCUGCGGAUCAAUAAAAUUCAAUCAUAAGUAGUAUGAACCUUUUGGAGUCUGGACUGUUUACGCUGAAACCAUUGCGUGCUGAGCCUGAUCAACUCAGUAUCGCGUAUGGUAGGCAGGGUAGUACGGUUGAGAACCGAAGUGGAACCAGGAGGUCAAGCAGUAAGAACGCAGUAGGAGUGUGAACUCAGAAGGGAGUAUGAACGAAUAUCGUUAGAAGCUAAUAUUGGAACUGUAGCAGUCGAUGCCACAAGAGUAAGUUGAGUAACGCCAACAAGUGGCGCGCAGAAUUGGGAAAAUUACGUGGCGUAAUACCAGUAGUAAGAGGCAUGUCAAGAGAUGCACGAACCAGACGCGCUCAACUGACGGUAGCAGGUUUAAGGAUACGGAGAAUUCUGGGAAUGGAAAACCGGUAUCAAAGUAAGUUUUGAUCGGAGUAGAACCGAGACUGUUUAUUGAAGUACGAUACCGGAUAAUUGUACUACGUCUGAUGGGUGCAUUAAUAUGGAGAAUGAAAUUAUGAGAACGGCGCAUGUAUGUAUUAUGUGAACCUAAUAACCAGAAGCACUUAAUUCAAAUAAGACUUAUCAAAAGUCAGUGAACCGAACUCUUUCAAAUUCGUCAAACCUUCAUUUCAGCUCAGUAGUUUUCCCAGAGACAUAGGUCAAUUGACUACACUAUUAGAGAAAGACAAACUAUACUUCAAACAUUCCUUUAAUUCCUAAUGUCAGUUUGUUGUACCAUUCUCGUAGAAUGAGAAUCAAGUUUGUCCCAAUUCAAGAGAACUGUCGGUGGAAAUAAAUCAUGAAGCAUGAACAUACACCGGCAGAAUCAGGAUUUUCAAUUACCUACCCUUUCACGUGAACUAUAAAUCAGCUAAAUUCAUCGAAUCGAUGUGAUGCAUGAUUCGUAAUCAGCCAACCUUGUUAAGUUAUGAACAUUACAUUCCUCAAGCCUAUCUCAUUUUGAUAGAGAGAUAAAUUCUUCCGGUGCUUUGCGAUCUAUCACUUACAUUUAGCGUAAAAAUUCAAUUAAGUUGCGAAUCUUUCUAAUUCCUCAAUAUCAGUGAAUUAGAUUCACAGUUAGAAUGUUAUCCUUAUGUAACUCUGACGAAAUGUCUUCAGCUUUUCACCUUUGUUAUCAGUAUUCAGUUUGGACCUAUGUAAAGUUGAAUGGCUUGUUAAGAGUAAUGAGUUGUGUUCCUUUAAAGGACUAUUAGUUAUUCAUGUUGACCUUCAGAGCAGUAACCUUAUGUUUACCAUCAAGAAAUUCUUCAAUCUUCUAGUUUCAUUACUGAUGACCGGUUCAUAAUCACAUAAGUCUAAUUAAUUAUGUAGGGUCAUGAGUAAUUUUAGUUCAAGUUCUCACGUGUCUUGUUAAUAUGUUAAUCAACAAGCAACCUAGAGUUAGUCAACUCAAUUAGUAGUAGCAUCACCAUCGGUAAAUCGAGACAAUUGUGUUUUACUUUCCCUUAGCGACCAGUCUAUUUUAGACAACUCGUUAUCGCAAAAUUGCAUCAGAGAAUUCUAUCCAAAUCUUACCUUAAUUAAGUUAGGGGACUCAUCAUAAGAAGUAACCUCAAUGAACACUGAUGGAAUGAGAAAAUCGUAAGCGCUAUGCAACAAUGAGGAGACUUUGAGUAUGUAAUAAUUGUAAUAGAUAAGGAGUGAAGUGGUGCAGAUAUGUUAGAUUUUGGUGAAGUAUUUAUACAGUGGUGCAUCGGAAGUCACUAUUGAUGCGAGUAUUACUUUGAAACGUUUACGGUACAAGAAGUAAUAACAAUAUGAGUAACGCCGGAUAAGAUGAGACAAUGUGUGACAUUACCCGGGAAUUGUAGACCGAGGUUGGAAUGACGCAGUCAGAAGAUAAUGGUAAAAAGUUGAUAUCAGAGUGCGCAGCAAGUAAUGGUGGAGAAUGCAGUCAGCAGGUUGGUCUUUAGGCCAACAACCAUUUAGGAAGAAGAAAGUUUUAUUCCAAGGAAUUGGAUGUGGAAGACGGUAAGAUAAUUAAAAGAACGUAUGACGAGUAAGUUACACAUAUGUUCAUGUUUGAACUUGGGAUUGUUAGUAAUGGAGUACCCUUGAGAACAAAGAUUGUGAAGGGAGAACGAUUCAACUCAUAAGGUUAAUGCGGUGAACUAGUAAGAACAAGUGGGCUCCGGUAUUAAUUUGAAGAGUAAGGAAAAAGGAAAUGUUGCGUUGCGAACGGUUGUACCGAGGAAAAUAACAAAAAGUGCUAAUAUAAGAUGGGCGUGCACCUAUAAGUCGUAUUAUGGGAUGAGAUCAUGAGUUCGAUGUAUGAAAUGAACAAGCUGGAUUUUCAAAAGUAACAUAAACAAAUGCUAUUGCAGCGAAGUAUGGGGUUAAUAACCUUGAAGGACGAAUCAUGAUCUGUUAAGAAAUAAAGUCUAGACAAUUUGCUUUGGUGAUGAAUGAAGAAGUUUUUGAAUUUCGCGGACGAAAUUCUUUUAAGGGGGAUAGAUUGUAACAUCCCAACGUUAAUUAAUAGAGAAAUAUUAAUUAGAGUUGAUUAUUGGAGACUAAUUAAAAAUAAGUGAACAAGUAUACAGGAUAAUUAAAGAACUCAAGAAUAAGUUAACUAUGACCAUUUGAGAGAAAGAGAACCCUUUACCAAGUGGGACCCAUUACUCCAUAUGAUAAUUAAGCCAAUACUAAACAUUUCCCUCAUUUGUGAAGAAUCAGAACAACAUCUUGUUUCAUUUCUUUCUCUCCCUCGUUCUUCAACCUCACGCCCCUCCUCCAUAACCCAUGUUUCAUUCUUCUACCCAAAAGGUUGCAUGUACUCUUUUCUAGUUAACUCUUAGUCAUUGAGCUAUAACAAAGGAUUUGAGACUCCAAAUCAUUCAUUCUUUCUCUAGUACGGGAAAUUAAUCCCAAAUCCAUCUCCACAAGAUCUUCAAAACCCUUUCCAUUAAAUUGAAGAAAAUCAGAGGUGUUUAUGGUGUUGAUUGCAUGUGCAAAUUCUGGAACAAAUUCUCAAUCAGCAGCAUGAUAAAGGAAGAGUAAGUAAUAGAGUUAAUUCUUCAAAUUCCUUAUUCUCACAAGUCCAUUCUAUGUGGUGUUAAAGAUGAUUUAUAGGAUUUAAUUAGUUCCAUUUUGGUACUUGCAUGUAAGAUUCCAAGGAGAGAAGAUCAUGGGUAUUUGAGUAGAAGUAGUUGAGAGAUCCAAGAUUAAGGAAGCUAAAAACUUGCAGAAGUUGGAAAGGACUUGGGAUUUAAGAAAUUAUUAUGGAAAAGUGAUUUAACAACCUUAAUGAACUAUUGUUGUUGCUGUACUGUGGUCUGAUGUUGUUGUUAAAACUGAUUGGUAUGAUUAGAAUGGUUAUGGCUUAAUUCUAUGGAAUUUUAGUGAAAAAUUCGUAUGACAGUACAGGUACUAAUCGAGUCAUAGCUGUUGCUGUGUAGCCCAGACUUGUGUAAUUGUUGGAUUUUCGGAUUCUACACUUAAUUCCCUUCAGUUUGGAUAUACGUUUGAUAUGUUUUGGAUUAGAAAUGGAUUCGGAAAACGCGUUUGAAGUUUGAAUAUUGAUGUUGGAAACUGCAUACGGGUUUUGGCAUGGAUUUUGCAGAAUAAGCUAAAAUGUGUGUUUAAGUUGGGUGAAUGAUUCCAGAACUGAAUAUGUAUGCUUAAUUGGCUGAGUAAGAGCUUGGUUUGAAGUUGAAAUGAAAAAAUUAGAGGUUGGAAGUCAGUAGCAGUUUUAUGCAGAAAAUCUGUCACGAGUUUGCAUAUGUGAGCAGCACCAUCGGAUGGUUCUAAGCGGGCGAGAUGGCUGGUUAUUGCUAGCAAUUUCAGAUAAACAGGUUGAUCGAGAUAUCAUGGUCUACAAGCAUGGAGUUCAGAUACUUGGAUUAUGCUAGUUGAGCUGACGUCAUGUUAUCUUAUAUUUUGUAUAAGAUUUAGUUUCUUUAUGUUUUCAGUUGUUAGCUCAAUUUAGUAUUAAUCUCUUGGAUUUUGUAAUCCUAUUUGUGUAUUCGGCCGAUAUGCAAUGAAAAUUUAAUGUUUCCCGAUUCA
Trifolium pratense (red clover) is the source of this 5581-nucleotide long non-coding RNA. RefSeq lists it as uncharacterized. The transcript has 3 exons. The record is from RefSeq and is a predicted model, not a curated record. NCBI's taxonomy places the organism in Eukaryota, Viridiplantae, Streptophyta, Magnoliopsida, Fabales, Fabaceae.